GAUGAACGCUGACAGAAUGCUUAACACAUGCAAGUCAACUUGAACUUCGGUUUGGGUGGCGGACGGGUGAGUAACGCGUAAAGAACUUGCCUCACAGAUAGGGACAACAUUUGGAAACGAAUGCUAAUACCUGAUAUUAUGAUUUUAGGGCAUCCUAGGAUUAUGAAAGCUAUAUGCGCUGUGAGAGAGCUUUGCGUCCCAUUAGCUAGUUGGAGAGGUAACGGCUCACCAAGGCGAUGAUGGGUAGCCGGCCUGAGAGGGUGAUCGGCCACAAGGGGACUGAGACACGGCCCUUACUCCUACGGGAGGCAGCAGUGGGGAAUAUUGGACAAUGGACCAAGAGUCUGAUCCAGCAAUUCUGUGUGCACGAUGAAGUUUUUCGGAAUGUAAAGUGCUUUCAGUUGGGAAGAAAAAAAUGACGGUACCAACAGAAGAAGUGACGGCUAAAUACGUGCCAGCAGCCGCGGUAAUACGUAUGUCACAAGCGUUAUCCGGAUUUAUUGGGCGUAAAGCGCGUCUAGGUGGUUAUAUAAGUCUGAUGUGAAAAUGCAGGGCUCAACUCUGUAUUGCGUUGGAAACUGUGUAACUAGAGUACUGGAGAGGUAAGCGGAACUACAAGUGUAGAGGUGAAAUUCGUAGAUAUUUGUAGGAAUGCCGAUGGGGAAGCCAGCUUACUGGACAGAUACUGACGCUGAAGCGCGAAAGCGUGGGUAGCAAACAGG
Molecule: ribosomal RNA, 722 nt
Filed under: uncultured Fusobacterium sp.
Lineage: Bacteria; Fusobacteriati; Fusobacteriota; Fusobacteriia; Fusobacteriales; Fusobacteriaceae
Description: bacterial SSU rRNA
Rfam family: Bacterial small subunit ribosomal RNA
Source: RNAcentral